RNAcentral lists this ribosomal RNA (327 nucleotides) under Pantoea sp. RNAcentral's name for it is "bacterial SSU rRNA". It matches the Rfam family "Bacterial small subunit ribosomal RNA", at positions 1102 to 1428 of the family's 1533-position model. The record is from RNAcentral. Lineage: Bacteria; Pseudomonadati; Pseudomonadota; Gammaproteobacteria; Enterobacterales; Erwiniaceae.
CCCUUAUCCUGUGUUGCCAGCGUGUGAUGGCGGGAACUCAAAGGAGACUGCCGGUGAUAAACCGGAGGAAGGUGGGGAUGACGUCAAGUCAUCAUGGCCCUUACGAGUAGGGCUACACACGUGCUACAAUGGCGCAUACAAAGAGAAGCGACCUCGCGAGAGCAAGCGGACCUCACAAAGUGCGUCGUAGUCCGGAUCGGAGUCUGCAACUCGACUCCGUGAAGUCGGAUAAGAGUUUGAUCUUGGCUCAGAAUGCCACGGUGAAUACGUUCCCGGGCCUUGUACACACCGCCCGUCACACCAUGGGAGUGGGUUGCAAAAGAAGUA